RNAcentral lists this unclassified non-coding RNA (402 nucleotides) under uncultured fungus. RNAcentral's name for it is "partial contains small subunit ribosomal RNA, internal transcribed spacer 1, and 5.8S ribosomal RNA". The stretch from base 1 to 73 matches the Rfam family "Eukaryotic small subunit ribosomal RNA", at positions 1759 to 1831 of the family's 1831-position model. The record is from RNAcentral. Lineage: Eukaryota; Fungi.
GCAAACUUGGUCAUUUAGAGGAAGUAAAAGUCGUAACAAGGUUUCCGUAGGUGAACCUGCGGAAGGAUCAUUACUGAAUAAAAGUUUGGUUCGAGGUUGUCGCUGGCAUCCUAGGGUGCAUUUGCACGCCCCUUGCCAUUCUGUCAUUCACCUUUUUCCUCCUGUGCAUUCUCAUGUAGGCCAGAUAGCCGUCAGUAGCGUUCUCCGGGGAUGCUUCUUUGGACUUGCUGUUGCAGCUCCACAUUGCGACAGCUCCUCCUGAAGGUGGCAAGUCUGGUCUAUGCAUUUUAUCAAACCCCUCUCUUAUUUUUAUGUGUCUGGUAUUGCAUGGGCUUAUCAAAGCAUGUAUGCACAACUUUCAACAACGGAUCUCUUGGCUCUCGCAUCGAUGAAGAACGCAGC